Molecule: long non-coding RNA, 2547 nt
Organism: Heterocephalus glaber (naked mole-rat)
Lineage: Eukaryota; Metazoa; Chordata; Mammalia; Rodentia; Bathyergidae
Source: Ensembl
GAGAACGGUUGCAGGUCCUUCCCGUAGCUCCAUCUGUGAAAGGCAGAGCUGGCAGGAACAAUUCUCAAUGCACAAGAGCCUGGGAAGCCAGGCUGAGGAGGAGCUCAUGGGAGCGGAGAGAAGAGCAGCAAAUCCCUCUGUCAACAGGAACUUCAAGGAAACCACUACAGAAGCCUAAGCACAACCCUCUGGAGCAGCUGGCACUACUAUUCCAUUAAAGUCAUUUUUGAAAGUAUACAAUCCAAUUCCCUUGGCUGUCUGCUCCCCUUGGCCCCUGGAAUGGGAACAGAACCCAGGACCUCACACAUGUGAGCCCCAAUUUAAAGAAGAAAGAAGGUGCCUUUUGGUUUUGAAGGUGUGUGAGUAACCAAGGUGUGCAGCCAGCUCCUAUUCUGCAGAUGAUGACUCAGAGGGAGAGAAACCUAUCACUUGCUCCAGGAUGCACAAGAUUUCCAUUCUUGCUGAAAACAUCCACAAUGUGUCUCCAGCCGAGAACACGGAGCUGAGCAGUGAGGUUGAUGCAAGUGAGACUGCCACCAUGAAAUGUAAUCAUCUCUCUUAGACAACGUGGGCUUCUACAACAAAAAAACAUAGGCUGUGGAACUGGAAUAAUAGAUAUUGAUUUCUCAUGGUUCUGGAGUCUGGGAAGUCCAGGUUUGAGCGCUGCUGGCCAUCGGUUUUGGGGUGUCGGGGGGGAGUCCUUCCUUUGGUUUGCAGAUGACUACCUUCUUGCUAUAUCCACACACACCAGAGAAGGAGAGCUCUCUGAUGCCUCUUUGUUGUCUGAACUCUGAUCCUAACAGAUCAGGUCUCUACCCUUAGGAUUUCAUUUCCUUACUGCUUUACUCCAAAUAUAAUCAUACUACGGUUAAUUAACCUUAGCCAUAAUUACUUCUGUCCAAAUAUAACCACACUGAGGGCGAGGGCUUCAACACAGGAAUUUGGGGGAGAAACCACUCAGUCAAUAGCCCCCUUUUUGUAUUCCCUGAAGCUCCAGGUCUCACAUUUACCUGGUCCCACACUACUCAUUUCCCAAGCACAAAGGGCAUGCAUACUUGGUGGCUUGAAUAUGACUCUGCCACUCCUCUACUCUCAGUUGCAUUUUUAGGAAAUUCUUAAAAAAUAACUCCCAGAAAUCAUGAGUAAUUAUAAAACAUAGCAAAAGAAGAAAAUAAAAAGUCAACAACAAAUCCUAUAACCCCCAAAAUAAUAUUUUGAUGUAUAUGCUUCCAGCUAAUCUAUGUAACUACGUACUUAUCUAUCUAUAUUUUUAAUAAAAACUAUAUCUUCCUGUAGAGACAAUCUUGCAGAUGACUCAUAUGCUGAUUACAAUUCAGCUUCAUUUCUGUGCAAAUUGAUGCCAUCAACCAAAUGAUACACCUGAGGAUCUCAUAACCCCAAAACUGUCUUUAACACUAGACUGUCAAAGGAUUUUAGGCACACUUUUUUUUUUUUUGGUACUGGGGAUUGAACUCAUGACUUCGCACUUGCAAGGCAGGUGAGGUGCCACUGAGCUAAAUUCCCAGCCUUUAGGCACACUUUUUAUCAGGACUCCUGUCACCAGGGGGUUCAACUGGAUGGAUGAUCUCAUAUGGGUAUGUACACACACAUACACACACACACACACAAACACAAACACACACGGAACAUGGUUUCCCGAUCAUUGCUCUGAUAUAAGGCAGCAAUCUACCAACCAGAAAGUGGGCCCUCACCAGGUAUUUAUCAUGAUCUGCACGGCUUGGCAUGUGCCCACCAUGGGCAAGACCUCCUUCCACCUCAUCACAUAUCACAUAUCACUCUGUACAGUGGUUAGACUUUAUAAUGACAACAUGAAGGGUGCUUACUCAGGGAAUCUACUUCCUGGAAUCCCUGGCUAGCUUACAUUUUCCUUUUAUGCAUUCACAUAACACCCUUUACCAGGCAUUUACCUAGGUUGCUAUUUAGUGGGUAUGUCUAUAUUUCUAGAUGAGCCACAAUAUAAAUUCUAUGCUCUACACUAUAUCCCCAGCAUCUAACCCUAUGGCUUCACAUAGUAGGCACUUGGUGUUUCAUAUAGGACAAAGCAAAGAAUGAACACCUGGCUUUUUAAAAAAUGUUUUCCGAUGAGAUGGCAAAGCUGAGGGCGUAAGUGUACUUAGGUCACACAGCCAUUUGGAAUGAAGGGACUGAGACCAGGGCCUGGGCUCCUCUUCCUCUACCUGGUGAUUUGCCCCAUGGUGAGGAUUCUUCCCACAAACUGGUGACAGGGGACAAGCUGGGUGGCUGAUUUCCCAAAUUGAACUUUUUAAGCAAAGUCAGGAAAUUGGGUCUUAUUUUCAUGGGGAAAUGUGAAAACAGCAGAAUUGUGAACAGGAUUAAAAGUUAUGAUUUACGUUAAAAGGAAAUUGCUUUUCACUAGAGAAAAUUACUGUGCGUUCUCUAUCUCCAAACACAAUUCCUUCUAUGAUUAUGAAAUCAUAUUCUUUUCUAUAUGCUGUUUUUUCCAUUUGUUUUUGCGUGUGGUAUAUAUAGAAUGAAAAAUAUUUUUUUAAAAAACGAGAAAGAAGG